UGAAUAUUGGGGAAUAUUGUCUCUCGUAGAACAUAAAAUUCUACUCGGGACAAUAUUCCCCAAUAUUCA
RNAcentral lists this small RNA (69 nucleotides) under Mytilus galloprovincialis (Mediterranean mussel). Lineage: Eukaryota; Metazoa; Mollusca; Bivalvia; Mytilida; Mytilidae. The record is from RNAcentral.